Molecule: non-coding RNA, 114 nt
Organism: Paramuricea clavata
Lineage: Eukaryota; Metazoa; Cnidaria; Anthozoa; Malacalcyonacea; Plexauridae
Source: the annotation of a GenBank genome assembly
GCGUGCGGCAGAAACGAUUUAGUUUUAGAAAACGCUGAUCGCCGAAGUUAAGCCUGAUCGGGCGAAGUUAGUACUUGGAUGGGUGACCGCAUGGGAUACUUCGUGUUGUAGGCU